Molecule: long non-coding RNA, 618 nt
Organism: Papaver somniferum (opium poppy)
Lineage: Eukaryota; Viridiplantae; Streptophyta; Magnoliopsida; Ranunculales; Papaveraceae
Exons: 3
Source: RefSeq, a predicted model, not a curated record
GGUUGAUUUCUCAAUUUGGUGCGGUUAUUAGGGUUUGAUUUUACAAAUUUCAUCAGUCAGACAACUUAAGUUAUAGGAACAUCUUCAUCAGACAAGUAUGAUAUGAGGAGAGGUCGGUUUGCAAAGAACGGACUGAUUCAGUACCAGAUUGUAUGCCAACAAGUUAAUGUUGGUUCUCUGGAAGAGGUGAUCAAACCAUUUUUGCAUCUUUCAACUGAGAAAGUUGAGAAUGCAAAGACCCAGGCAGAGGCUUUAGAAGAAGCUCUAGACAUUGAUGACUUGGAAGCGGAUAAGAGGCCUGAAGACUUGAUGCUGAGCUAUAUUGGUGGAGAGAAGGGAAAGGAUAUAUCUGACCGCGAGCUUGUUACUCUGUGGUUAGAGGCCUACAGAAUGGUUCUCGAAAUUCUCCGUAACAACACUAAACUAGAAGCAUUCUACGCGGUAAGCCAUCUGAUAUUUUAAUUAGGUUUACCUCCUUUCAACCGCUUUUUAUCUCUUAGGCAUUUUUGAUUUUUCAGUCUUGAUGAGUUUGAGUGUAAUAUUUCUCUCUAUUGUAAUGAUGACUGCACACCGAGUCUUCCAGUUUUGUAAGAAGCACAAGAGAACAACUGAAUUCUG